RNAcentral lists this ribosomal RNA (527 nucleotides) under Chloropicon mariensis. RNAcentral's name for it is "partial Bacterial small subunit ribosomal RNA". It matches the Rfam family "Bacterial small subunit ribosomal RNA", at positions 389 to 906 of the family's 1533-position model. The record is from RNAcentral. Lineage: Eukaryota; Viridiplantae; Chlorophyta; Chloropicophyceae; Chloropicales; Chloropicaceae.
CAGCAAUGCCGCGUGAGUGAAGAAGGCCUUCGGGUUGUAAAGCUCUUUUGUCAGGGAAGAAACGGUAGAGGCUAAUAUCCUUUGCUAAUGACGGUACCUGAAGAAUAAGCACCGGCUAACUACGUGCCAGCAGCCGCGGUAAUACGUAGGUGGCAAGCGUUGUCCGGAAUUAUUGGGCGUAAAGAGCUCGUAGGCGGUUUGUCGCGUCUGCUGUGAAAACCCGAGGCUCAACCUCGGGCCUGCAGUGGGUACGGGCAGACUAGAGUGCGGUAGGGGAGAUUGGAAUUCCUGGUGUAGCGGUGGAAUGCGCAGAUAUCAGGAGGAACACCGGUGGCGAAGGCGGGUCUCUGGGCAGUAACUGACGCUGAGGAGCGAAAGCGUGGGGAGCGAACAGGAUUAGAUACCCUGGUAGUCCACGCCGUAAACGUUGGGCGCUAGGUGUGGGGCUCAUUCCACGAGUUCCGUGCCGCAGCUAACGCAUUAAGCGCCCCGCCUGGGGAGUACGGCCGCAAGGCUAAAACUCAAAG